CCUACGGGUGGCAGCAGUGGGGAAUAUUGCACAAUGGGGGAAACCCUGAUGCAGCAACGCCGCGUGGGUGAAGGAGCGUUUCGGCGCGUAAAGCCCUGUCAGCGGGGAAGAAGAAAGACGGUACCCGACCAAGAAGCCCCGGCUAACUCCGCGCCAGCAGCCGCGGUAAUACGUAGGGGGCGAGCGUUAUCCGGAUUUACUGGGUGUAAAGGGAGCGUAGACGGCGGGGCAAGUCAGAUGUGAAAGCCCCGGGCUCAACCCCGGGACUGCAUUUGGAACCGGGCUGCUAGAGUGUCGGAGAGGCAGGCGGAAUUCCUAGUGUAGCGGUGAAAUGCGUAGAUAUUAGGAGGAACACCAGUGGCGAAGGCGGCCUGCUGGACGAUGACUGACGUUGAGGCUCGAAAGCGUGGGGAGCAAACAGGAUUAGAUACCCUUGUAGUC
RNAcentral lists this ribosomal RNA (441 nucleotides) under uncultured bacterium. Its description in RNAcentral is "partial 16S ribosomal RNA". It matches the Rfam family "Bacterial small subunit ribosomal RNA", at positions 338 to 795 of the family's 1533-position model. The record is from RNAcentral.